UACGUAGGGUGCGAGCGUUGUCCGGAAUUAUUGGGCGUAAAGGGCUCGUAGGCGGUUUGUCGCGUCGGGAGUGAAAACACCGGGCUUAACUCGGUGCUUGCUUUCGAUACGGGCAGACUAGAGGCAUGCAGGGGAGAACGGAAUUCCUGGUGUAGCGGUGAAAUGCGCAGAUAUCAGGAGGAACACCGGUGGCGAAGGCGGUGGGCUGGGCCGGUACUGACGCUGAGGAGCGAAAGCGUGGGGAGCGAACAGG
RNAcentral lists this ribosomal RNA (253 nucleotides) under uncultured bacterium. RNAcentral describes it as "partial 16S ribosomal RNA". It matches the Rfam family "Bacterial small subunit ribosomal RNA", at positions 524 to 776 of the family's 1533-position model. The record is from RNAcentral.